This is an RNA transcript of Solea solea (common sole), 2645 nucleotides long. RefSeq lists it as uncharacterized. The record is from RefSeq and is a predicted model, not a curated record. Lineage: Eukaryota; Metazoa; Chordata; Actinopteri; Pleuronectiformes; Soleidae. The transcript is spliced from 4 exons.
GGGAGCGAGGGAGGGAAGGAGGGCAUGUAGGCAGAAAGGACUUUUUCUCCUCUCCAUAGUAACAAUGACAAAACAAGCCAGUUGAAGUCCAGGAAGGAGCAGGGAUGAUUGCAGCUGUGUGGAAAAGGAGACGGACCGGUUCAGAGCAGAUUCCUACGUUGGAGUGAAAGGAACAGGGGCAACAGGGGCAACAGGAGCAGAAGAAGAUCCUGGAAGUUUGCAGGGAUUGUUUUCCAUCACAGAAACUUGCAAGUGGAGCAACACGUGACAGGCUUGCACCCUUCAUACCCCCUCGGCAUGGACCGGGACAGUCACAGCGAGGACUCUCUGUCCACCAUGGUUCUGGAGAACAUUAAGAACAAACUCAUACAUGCCUUCAGGGUGACAGGAGAGUCCAGAGAAGAUCCUCAAGACUCUGGAUCCACUGUCAGACCAGUCAGCAUUGGCCGGAACUUCCAGGCCAAUGAGGAGCUGAGGAGGGCGCAGAUAGAUGGAGCAAUAACCUGGCUGAGGUCUGAGCUGCUGGAGAUGCGCUCACAGGACCUGCAGCUGGCUCAGACUCUGCUGGGGCUCAACACAGAGAUCCAAAGACUGAGGAGGGAGAGUUUUGGAGGUGUGGAAGUAGAGGGGGAGGAUCAGCAGUAGCCUCCCCUGUCAGACACAUCCUUCUCUGGGGAAGACCUACGAUUAACUGGAGGAAGAACAGGUAGAAAAAUGCUCUCACUGGAAACCUCGUGAUGGACAAGAAAAAUGAAACCCAUUGAUUGGAUUGUGAUAACGCUAACAGUUACAUGUAAAGUCACCACCAUAGAGAGUGAUCAAGUGUGUAAGUUAGACUUUUCUUGUUUGCACUUUUGCAGUUCUGCUAAAGAACUGUUUUGUUUCUGUGGAAGAAUGAGAAACAAGACAGUUUGAAUGUAAAGAUGAAGUAAAAAAUAAAUAAAGAAAGAACACAGCAUCAGUGUAUUUUUGAUGUCUUUAUUCUGCUGCAGUACAGUACCUCAAUUAAAGUCAAAUACGUUUAAAAGGAAACAUUCACAUCUCAUUGGAAACAAUUUCCAACGUGUACAGUUUGUACAUUCUUUCUGUACAUCAGCACUUUAACUUUAAUAAUUCCUCCUAAAGGUCUCGUCGAUAAUGUCUUACUGUCAUCACAAUGUUUCAUCCAGGUUCAUGGAAUUCAUUCAUUCAUUCGUGCAUUACAGUCAUAAAAGGGCACAGAGCUUCUCCUGCUGAACACCUGCUUAGAUAAAAGCCUGGUGUGACGUGAUGGAGGCGUCUUCAGGAGAGAGGAGACAGCUCCUGCUUCAGCUCCUGGAUGCCGGAGUGAAGCUCCAUCAGCUGCCGGAUCAGGACCUGGUCUUGGGAACGCAUUUCCAUCUGUGUACAGAGAACACAUUGAUUUAGUUCAGAGGUGUUAGUUUGGAUUUAGUGAUAUGUAGUGCUGUCGGUUUGAAUCCCCACCAGGUCAGGGGCUGGGGUGCCCCUGAGCAAGGUACUUAAUCCCCAUUGUUCACUGUUAAUUGAGCCCUGUCACUGGGUGAGGUGUGCACAUCCAGGCCUGGAUAAUGCAUCAAACAUGCAGAUCAUCGUCUGUGGCGACACCUAAAGAGAAAGUGGAUAUAGUGAUAACUAGAAAUAUGAUAUAAUAAAGGAAUUCAUGAGAAACAGAAAGUCUUUGCAGUGGACCAGUUUGAGGCUCAGCGUGAAACCACCUCUUUCUUAGUGAAGGUUGAAUAAUUACUGCCACUGUAAAAUAACAUAUUUGGAAUUCAGAGUCUAAGUCUGAUCUAGAGAGAGAGGAAUGUCCCUUCUAGUCCAAUCUGCUUUUCUCUUCUCUCGGAAUUACAGAUACUGGUCCUUUGUCAAGACGUGAGAGAAAUGACAGGAAACAUGAGCUUUUCCUCAGAGGCAGCUGGACAUGAUUCAAGCUCCAGUUCCUCAGGUUACCAGCCUUUUUUCUUUUUACAUCUUGUGUACAGAAUGUACUUCUUUGCAAAUGCACAUGUGCCUUUUAACGUGAACUCCAGUCUGUGGACGGCUGAACAUCAGCCAGCUCUACGACAGUACUCGCUCACCACAGACAUAAAGCUGGAAAUAAAACGUCAAAGGAAUGACAUUAGUCAUUAGUUUUACUUCACUUUAUUCAUCAUACAAAAUGCUAAAAGCAGCUGCUGAGGAACCUUUCCACAGUUACUUAAAGUGGGAUUAAACUACUUCUUGUAAAGUUAAUUCCACCUAAAAUCCAUACCUGAUUUUGAAGAAUGCUAAGAAGUGGGCUGAGAACUGAGUGAGGAGAGUGGGGAUCAGUGAGGGGGCGUGGUCUGAUGAAAUAACUGAGCAACAACUUCUGCAUUUUAAAAAGGGGGGAGGAGUCUGGGACAGGCAAUAGCAAAUGAAGGCAAUAGCAAAGUUUUAAAGCAGUAGCUGGUGUUUGGCCAGAGAGGUUAAGGUAACCUAGGUAACCCAGGUAACCCAGGUAACCCGUACCAGAAUAUGUAUCAUUUCAAUUCUUUACACUAAACUGUGAAGAUUUGCAUCCGAAUCAACACAAAGUGUCCAUUAGUUUCCCAUGUACACUGGUUUACACCUGAAGUGUUUUGGUUACAAUUUUGUAAGUCAUUUUGAGAGUACACUGACAUGUG